RNAcentral lists this unclassified non-coding RNA (710 nucleotides) under Melitaea cinxia (Glanville fritillary). RNAcentral's name for it is "misc RNA ENSMCXG00005010755.1". Lineage: Eukaryota; Metazoa; Arthropoda; Insecta; Lepidoptera; Nymphalidae. The record is from RNAcentral.
UAUAUACUUAUUCACUUUGAAAACUCUGAUAGCGCGAUGUAGUAUACGUCAGUUUUCUCUAAUUACGUAGUUUGUAGUCGUUCGUAUUUCGCGCGAUAGAUGUCGCUACAUCACUCCCCUCCGAGACCGGAGGUCGAUAGCAGGUUAAGUCGUCCAUUCAUCUUGUGAUGCUUGCCGGGCCAGUGGAAUGUUCCAGUGAGUCGGAACCAGAUGCCGCAUAGUUCACGGUGAGUCGGAACUGUCUGCGGUGAUGCUGCAUAUGCUCCAGUGAGUCGGAGUGGUGCAGUGCUGCGUAGUGGCUGCUGCUGCGUCGACCAGGAGAGAAGUGCGUCUCUGCUUGCUGACCGGCCGAAGUGCAGUGUACUGUGCCAAAGUCGCUGAGAAGGCUGUGGGUGAUGACCAGGAAUGCGCGUCCGCUGCAUGCUGGUGGUCAGGAUACCCGUAGUAGCCGUAAAUGCUGGCUGGCUGAAGUAGUAGAUGCUGGAUGCUAUUCGCUGCUCGAAAGCUUGAGGAAGUGAUGAUAACGAUGAAGGCUGCGCUGAUGUUCAUGCUCGGGGUCACCAGUUUGGUAGUGUGAAGAAUCACGUCGGGAUCUUGUAUAUAUACUUAUUCACUUUGAAAACUCUGAUAGCGCGAUGUAGUAUACGUCAGUUUUCUCUAAUUACGUAGUUUGUAGUCGUUCGUAUUUCGCGCGAUAGAUGUCGCUACAU